UGGUGACCUGCAUGCAGUGGUACCUUCA
RNAcentral lists this non-coding RNA (28 nucleotides) under Mus musculus (house mouse). Lineage: Eukaryota; Metazoa; Chordata; Mammalia; Rodentia; Muridae. The record is from RNAcentral.